UACGUAGGGGGCAAGCGUUGUCCGGAAUCAUUGGGCGUAAAGGGCGCGUAGGCGGCGCGACAAGUCACUUGUGAAAUCUCCGGGCUUAACCCGGAGCGGCCAAGUGAUACUGUAGUGCUAGAGUGCGGAAGGGGCUACUGGAAUUCUCGGUGUAGCGGUGAAAUGCGUAGAUAUCGAGAGGAACACCUGCGGCGAAGGCGGGUAGCUGGGCCGACACUGACGCUGAGGCGCGAAAGCCAGGGGAGCGAACGGG
Molecule: ribosomal RNA, 253 nt
Filed under: uncultured bacterium
Lineage: Bacteria
Description: partial 16S ribosomal RNA
Rfam family: Bacterial small subunit ribosomal RNA
Source: RNAcentral